GCUCAAGAAACGUUAAAGGACGUUCGGACGGGGGCCCGCACAAGCGGUGGAGCAUGUAGGUUUAAUUCGACGCAACGCGCAACGUAACCUUACCGUGGGCUUAGAAAUCUGGUGGAAUCUGUAUGAAAGUAUGGGGGUGCCCUUCGGGGAGCCGCAAGACAGGUGCUGCAUGGCUGUCGUCAGCUCGUGUCGUGAGAUGUUGGGUUAAGUCCCGCAACGAGCGCAACCCUUGUCUUCAGUUGCCAGCACGUAAAGGUGGGAACUCUGAAGAUACUGCCCCGGUUAACGGGAGGAAGGUGGGGAUGACGUCAAGUCCUCAUGGCCCUUAUGCCCAGGGCUACACACGUGCUACAAUGGCAUAUACAAAGGGUCGCGAUACCGCGAGGUGGAGCCAAUCCCAUAAAGUAUGCCACAGUUCGGAUUGGAGUCUGCAACUCGACUCCAUGAAGUUGGAAUCGCUAGUAAUCGCAGAUCAGCUACGUUGCGGUGAAUACGUUCCCGGGCCUU
This 507-nucleotide ribosomal RNA is filed under the name uncultured Desulfobotulus sp. RNAcentral's name for it is "bacterial SSU rRNA". It matches the Rfam family "Bacterial small subunit ribosomal RNA", at positions 912 to 1382 of the family's 1533-position model. The record is from RNAcentral. Lineage: Bacteria; Pseudomonadati; Thermodesulfobacteriota; Desulfobacteria; Desulfobacterales; Desulfobacteraceae.